UACGAAGGGGGCUAGCGUUGCUCGGAGUCACUGGGCGUAAAGCGCACGUAGGCGGACUCUUAAGUCGGUGGUGAAAUCCUGGAGCUCAACUCCAGAACUGCCUUCGAUACUGAGAGUCUCGAGUCCGGGAGAGGUGAGUGGAACUGCGAGUGUAGAGGUGAAAUUCGUAGAUAUUCGCAAGAACACCAGUGGCGAAGGCGGCUCACUGGCCCGGUACUGACGCUGAGGUGCGAAAGCGUGGGGAGCAAACAGG
RNAcentral lists this ribosomal RNA (253 nucleotides) under uncultured bacterium. RNAcentral's name for it is "partial 16S ribosomal RNA". It matches the Rfam family "Bacterial small subunit ribosomal RNA", at positions 524 to 776 of the family's 1533-position model. The record is from RNAcentral.